Molecule: long non-coding RNA, 1748 nt
Organism: Brassica oleracea var. oleracea
Lineage: Eukaryota; Viridiplantae; Streptophyta; Magnoliopsida; Brassicales; Brassicaceae
Exons: 5
Source: RefSeq, a predicted model, not a curated record
GGUAUAUAUCGGAAGGAAUCUUUUACUUUUUAAUGAUCGGCUCUAAUUGUCCUUGGAAAGCCCAGAUUCGAUUCAAAGAUCUGUGGAGAAAAAAAGAUGGAGAAACAAAUUUUGUCAACGAAAGCUGUUCUUCUUGGAGGUCUAGGUCCACGACAAUGUCAGUUGAGAUUUCUCAGCCAACUCUUCUUCUUCUAACUUGUGGAUGAUCUUUCUUUGGUUAUAAAACCCUAGCUGGAUCGGGGUUUUACAUACUCCAACAUGGAACACACUCAAACUCGUUUUUCCUACUGGGUCUCGGUCGCACUUUCAUGAUUUCCAUAGCUUUAUCAAUUGCCAAUUCAUGUUGAUUUCUCAUUGUAAUCGCAAUUCUCUAUUCAUCCUCCUCAACUGGUAUGUCUCAAUUUUGUAAACUAUCUAUAGGGUUUUGAUGCUCUGAGCAAACGUCUCCAUCAUCUUGAGGUGUUCUAUUCAAGGGCUCAAAUGUUCUAGUUGUCGAUGAUAUGGAGUCUUUUAAUUAGCAUCUUAUAAAACUUUCACCUAGUUGAUUACCAGAUACAAUACAUUUUUUCUGCAGGUUUCUUGCUUGGAUAGGUACACGUUUUUUUUGGUUAUUCAGACACAGACACAUAAACUCUUUCUUUGGUUCCCUCUUAUUGAUUUUUUUUCUUUGGCUUGAGAAAGCAGAAGUACAAACAACAGCAAGGGAACUGAAACAUGAACAUCAUCUUGCUCAGGGUUUGGUUUACUCAAUAUUCCAACAUCGGUCCUUUUGGUUUCACUAUAUUUGUUUCUGCUUCUCGGAAGCUAAGAGCAGCUCGGGGGGUUUAGGUCAAGGUUCUAAAGGAAAAAAGGAAAAAUAAAUAUAUGAAAAAUGCAAUAAUCAGAUAGAACCGGUGCCUAAUUAAGAGAAUGAAGAGUUGCUAAAAACCCCAUACGUGGCGGGUGCGGAUUGGGUUGAAAAAAUGUGGUCUCUUCUCUUUCUAUUCGGUUGUUCUCUUCUUCGAUGUUAUCGAAAUCUCUUCGUCGCUCUCUCUCUCUUCGUCGUCGAUCCUGUCCAAAUCUCCAACGGAGAUGAUGUUUAAUCGGUCAGCUUGUCGUCGAUUCUGUCUCUGUCUUGUUCGAUUUUGUCGAAAUCCCUUUGUCGGUUGGUCUCUCACUUCGUCGUCGAUUCCGUUGAAAUCACUUCUCCAUCCAAAGGCGUAGACAGAUACUUUUGGGACUGAUUGGAGAAGGGACUGGAAUCGCUGCAAAGGUUCUUAAAUCCAUGGGGAUCAAUCUUAAAGAUUCUCGUGUGGAGGUUGAGAAGAUCAUUGGAAGAGGCAGUGGUUGUGUGGCUGUGGAGAUCAUUGGAAGAAGCUCGACAACUUGGACAUAACUACAUUGGGCCAGAGCAUCUUCUGCUUGGUCUUCUUCGUGAAGGGGAAGGUGUUGCAGCUCGUGUCCUGGAGAAUUUGGCUGUAGAUGCUAGCAACAUACGGAUGCAGCUUUACUGUGAGAAGGAAAAGCUUUCAGAUGAUCAGUUUCUCGUAACCUGUGGAGCGAAGACAUGUGACAUAGAACACAUGUGACACAAUAAGCCAAAACAUAAACACCAUGUGACACAAAUAAACCAAGCUUUUGCUGUCUCUAUUUUUUUUUUUUUGAAGUUUUUUCUUGAGCUAUGUUCUCUCUAUAAGUUGUGUGUCGUCCAACUCAUUUAUUUCACAGAGAACACAUUUGUUCCAACAAAAACAUUAUCUUCUAUCAAA